GAUGAACGCUGGCGGCGUGCUUAACACAUGCAAGUCGAACGGACAGGCUCCUGCUUGCAGGGGUACUCGAGUGGCGAACGGGUGAGUAACACGUGGGUGAUCUGCCCUUCACUUCGGGAUAAGCCUGGGAAACUGCGUCUAAUAUCGGAUAGGACCACAUUAUGGAUGUUGUUGUGUAAUGUUAUUCGGUGUGGGAUUGGCUGGCGGCCUAUUCGCUUCUUGGUGGGGUAAUUGCUUACCAAGGCGUCGACGGAUAGCCGGCCUGAGAGGGGGCACGGCCACAAUGGGACUGAGAUACGGACCAGACUCCUACGGGAGGCAGCGGUGGGGAAUAUGACAGAAUGGGGGCAAGCCUGAUGCAGCGACGCCGCGUGGGGGAUGACGGCCUUCGGGUUGUAAACUACAUUCGCUAGGGACGAAGCGCAAGUGACGGUACCUGGAGAAGAAGCACCGGCUAACUACGUG
This 465-nucleotide ribosomal RNA is filed under the name uncultured bacterium. RNAcentral describes it as "partial 16S ribosomal RNA". It matches the Rfam family "Bacterial small subunit ribosomal RNA", at positions 28 to 507 of the family's 1533-position model. The record is from RNAcentral.